UACGUAGGGUGCGAGCGUUAAUCGGAAUUACUGGGCGUAAAGCGUGCGCAGGCGGUUCGUUGUGUCGGUGGUGAAAGCCCCGGGCUUAACCUGGGAAUGGCCAUCGAAACUGGCGGACUGGAGUGUGGCAGAGGGGGGUGGAAUUCCGCGUGUAGCAGUGAAAUGCGUAGAGAUGCGGAGGAACACCGAUGGCGAAGGCAGCCCCCUGGGCUGACACUGACGCUCAGGCACGAAAGCGUGGGGAGCAAACAGG
Molecule: ribosomal RNA, 253 nt
Filed under: uncultured bacterium
Lineage: Bacteria
Description: partial 16S ribosomal RNA
Rfam family: Bacterial small subunit ribosomal RNA
Source: RNAcentral